GUCCAAUUAGCUAGUUGGUGAGGUAACGGCCCACCAAGGCGACGAUUGGUAGCCGGACUGAGAGGUUGAACGGCCACAUUGGGACUGAGACACGGCCCAGACUCCUACGGGAGGCAGCAGUGGGGGAUAUUGCACAAUGGGGGAAACCCUGAUGCAGCGACGCCGCGUGGAGGAAGAAGGUUUUCGGAUUGUAAACUCCUGUCGUUAGGGACGACAAUGACGGUACCUAACAAGAAAGCACCGGCUAACUACGUGCCAGCAGCCGCGGUAAAACGUAGGGUGCAAGCGUUGUCCGGAAUUACUGGGUGUAAAGGGAGCGCAGGCGGACCGGCAAGUUGGAAGUGAAAUCCAUGGGCUCAACCCGUGAAUUGCUUUCAAAACUGCUGGCCUUGAGUAGUGCAGAGGUAGGUGGAAUUCCCGGUGUAGCGGUGGAAUGCGUAGAUAUCGGGAGGAACACCAGUGGCGAAGGCGACCUACUGGGCACCAACUGACGCUGAGGCUCGAAAGCAUGGGUAGCAAACAGGAUUAGAUACCCUGGUAGUCCAUGCCGUAAACGAUGAUUACUAGGUGUUGGAGGAUUGACCCCUUCAGUGCCGCAGUUAACACAAUAAGUA
Molecule: ribosomal RNA, 614 nt
Filed under: uncultured bacterium
Lineage: Bacteria
Description: bacterial SSU rRNA
Rfam family: Bacterial small subunit ribosomal RNA
Source: RNAcentral